This is a small nucleolar RNA of Thalassophryne amazonica, 81 nucleotides long. RefSeq annotates it as small nucleolar RNA SNORD60. The record is from RefSeq and is a predicted model, not a curated record. The transcript has a single exon. Lineage: Eukaryota; Metazoa; Chordata; Actinopteri; Batrachoidiformes; Batrachoididae.
AGCCACUGAUGACCAUCUAAAUUUUCUGACACCUCGUAUGAGAGCUAUUAUGCUCCUGAUUCUGACUUUGUUCUGAGGCUC